CAAUAGCGUAUAUUUAAGUUGUUGCAGUUAAAAAGCUCGUAGUUGGAUUUCGGGUGGGAAUGGCCGGUCCGCCGUUUCGGUGUGCACUUGCUACGCCCACCUUGCUGCCGGGGACGUGCUCUUGAGUUCACGCUCGGGACACGGAGUCGGCGAGGUUACUUUGAGUAAAUUAGAGUGUUCAAAGCAGGCCUACGCUCUGAAUACAUUAGCAUGGAAUAACACGAUAGGACUCUGGCCUAUCUUGUUGGUCUGUAGGACCGGAGUAAUGAUUAAGAGGGACAGUCGGGGGCAUUCGUAUUUCAUUGUCAAAGGUGAAAUUCUUGGAUUUAUGAAAGACGAACUACUGCGAAAGCAUUUGCCAAGGAUGUUUUCAUUAA
This 377-nucleotide ribosomal RNA is filed under the name uncultured eukaryote. Its description in RNAcentral is "partial 18S ribosomal RNA". It matches the Rfam family "Eukaryotic small subunit ribosomal RNA", at positions 592 to 976 of the family's 1831-position model. The record is from RNAcentral.